This is a non-coding RNA of Acanthosepion pharaonis, 113 nucleotides long. NCBI's taxonomy places the organism in Eukaryota, Metazoa, Mollusca, Cephalopoda, Sepiida, Sepiidae. The record is from the annotation of a GenBank genome assembly.
UACGGCCAUAUAACGUUGAAACAGCGGUUCUCGUACGAUCACCGAAGUUAAGCAACGUUGAGUCUGUUCAGUAUCUAGAUGAGUGACGGCUUGAGAAUACGAGGCGCUGUAAG